GCAAGUUGCACUCAACUCCGUUAAGGAAGAAGAGGAGAAAACCCAUUCUCUUGUUGGCUCUGCAAGGAAGAAGCUCAAUAUGUCCUUUGACAGAGCGCAAUGCAAUUUCUCUUCUCCUCUGUAUACUUUCUCUAUGCUGGCUGCCAGAUGCAAAGGACAGAGCUUAUAACAAUGAUUGACAGGUAGCAAAGGUGGAUGUAUCCAGUUUUUUUUUAAAACAAAUAUGUAUUUGUG
This is a non-coding RNA of Pelobates cultripes (western spadefoot toad), 234 nucleotides long. The record is from the annotation of a GenBank genome assembly. NCBI's taxonomy places the organism in Eukaryota, Metazoa, Chordata, Amphibia, Anura, Pelobatidae.